Molecule: long non-coding RNA, 852 nt
Organism: Lolium rigidum
Lineage: Eukaryota; Viridiplantae; Streptophyta; Magnoliopsida; Poales; Poaceae
Exons: 3
Source: RefSeq, a predicted model, not a curated record
AUUUGCUGUUGUAGGACAAGGACAAUUCUGAUUUUCUCCCACACAAUGUCUUGUGUCCUGUUGGAAAGAAAUUUUCAUGGUUUAAAUUUUUUGUUGGGAUUUUUUUAUUUGUCUUUUAGCCAUAACUUUAGGUGUGCAUAUUUGCUCGAAUCUUCUUGGCAGGGGCAUUGCAAUGCCUAUUCUAAUGACAAGCGAUCUUUGGACUGAUAAUUGUGCUGAAGAGUAUGGUUAGUUCAGGAUGUUGACUACUUGGUGCACCUUUCAUGUGUAAAUUUUGAAAAUCCAGUGACUCUUAUACAGGGAGGUACCGUUUGAAAGUCUGAGGAACUGUUCAGUCCAAUGUUCAAUGAAUAUCUUUUCUUGUCUUCUUCCAUCUUUUAUGCUCAAAUUCUGCAUCGAGCUCAUUAUGUGUUUAUUGAUCUGACCAAGCACUGAUGUGGUGCUUGUCUGAAAUGCAGCUUUUGUUUGUUUUUGUGGAGCAAGACAAUGAGGAAGUUGGCAAACCUGUUGCCAAUUAGUUUUGGUGUUACUGGACAAGAGCCCAAAGGAAUGCCUCAUAUGUUCUUGCUUACAGUGGGAAUGAAGAUGCUAAGAAGUUUUUCCUCAGUGGUAAAAUGUCAAUGGACAGCAUUAAGAUAAUUGCUGAAAUAUGCUUAGAAAGUCGGUCGUAGGAGUGUGGUCAACAGUUGCUAGGGAAUAUCUCCUAUGUUACAAAUUUUUAGCAGACGUGCCUGUUUCAUUGGAUAUUUCUGCUCAUAUAUUUGUGCAUGUUCUCAUAUUUCUCCAAAUUAUCACAUUUCUGCUGAGAAUACAUUUUUCAGCCACUACAGUGGACAGCUAAGGAGGAUGAAU